This 1346-nucleotide ribosomal RNA is filed under the name uncultured bacterium. Its description in RNAcentral is "partial 16S ribosomal RNA". It matches the Rfam family "Bacterial small subunit ribosomal RNA", at positions 28 to 1381 of the family's 1533-position model. The record is from RNAcentral.
GACGAACGCUGGCGGCGUGCUUAACACAUGCAAGUCGAACGGAAAGGCCCUGCUUUUGUGGGGUGCUCGAGUGGCGAACGGGUGAGUAACACGUGAGUAACCUGCCCUUGACUUUGGGAUAACUUCAGGAAACUGGGGCUAAUACCGGAUAGGAGCUCCUGCUGCAUGGUGGGGGUUGGAAAGUUUCGGCGGUUGGGGAUGGACUCGCGGCUUAUCAGCUUGUUGGUGGGGUAGUGGCUUACCAAGGCUUUGACGGGUAGCCGGCCUGAGAGGGUGACCGGCCACAUUGGGACUGAGAUACGGCCCAGACUCCUACGGGAGGCAGCAGUGGGGAAUAUUGCACAAUGGGCGGAAGCCUGAUGCAGCAACGCCGCGUGCGGGAUGACGGCCUUCGGGUUGUAAACCGCUUUCGCCUGUGACGAAGCGUGAGUGUCGGUAAUGGGUAAAGAAGCACCGGCUAACUACGUGCCAGCAGCCGCGGUGAUACGUAGGGUGCGAGCGUUGUCCGGAUUUAUUGGGCGUAAAGGGCUCGUAGGUGGUUGAUCGCGUCGGAAGUGUAAUCUUGGGGCUUAACCCUGAGCGUGCUUUCGAUACGGGUUGACUUGAGGAAGGUAGGGGAGAAUGGAAUUCCUGGUGGAGCGGUGGAAUGCGCAGAUAUCAGGAGGAACACCAGUGGCGAAGGCGGUUCUCUGGGCCUUUCCUGACGCUGAGGAGCGAAAGCGUGGGGAGCGAACAGGCUUAGAUACCCUGGUAGUCCACGCUGUAAACGGUGGGUACUAGGUGUGGGGUCCAUUCCACGGGUUCCGUGCCGUAGCUAACGCUUUAAGUACCCCGCCUGGGGAGUACGGCCGCAAGGCUAAAACUCAAAGGAAUUGACGGGGCCCCGCACAAGCGGCGGAGCAUGCGGAUUAAUUCGAUGCAACGCGUAGAACCUUACCUGGGUUUGACAUGGAUCGGGAGUGCUCAGAGAUGGGUGUGCCUCUUUUGGGGUCGGUUCACAGGUGGUGCAUGGCUGUCGUCAGCUCGUGUCGUGAGAUGUUGGGUUAAGUCCCGCAACGAGCGCAACCCUUGUUCACUGUUGCCAGCACGUUAUGGUGGGGACUCAGUGGAGACCGCCGGGGUCAACUCGGAGGAAGGUGGGGAUGACGUCAAGUCAUCAUGCCCCUUAUGUCCAGGGCUUCACGCAUGCUACAAUGGCUGGUACAGAGAGUGGCGAGCCUGUGAGGGUGAGCGAAUCUCGGAAAGCCGGUCUCAGUUCGGAUUGGGGUCUGCAACUCGACCUCAUGAAGUCGGAGUCGCUAGUAAUCGCAGAUCAGCAACGCUGCGGUGAAUACGUUCCCGGGGCU